This 2765-nucleotide long non-coding RNA is filed under the name Phascolarctos cinereus (koala). Its description in RNAcentral is "lncRNA (ENSPCIG00000022168.2)". Lineage: Eukaryota; Metazoa; Chordata; Mammalia; Diprotodontia; Phascolarctidae. The record is from RNAcentral.
CAGCCGAUUGAGCAAUUACGAGAUUAUUGGUAACUUGGGUAUAGAAUAUUUAGACGCUGUCUUAAAACUCCACGAGGGGCAUCAUGAAGUUGGGAAACCUGAGGUCCCAUCCUGCCUCUGACCCCUCCUGGACAGGGGCCCUGGGCAAGUGACUUCAGUGCUCAGCACUGCGGGCACCUCUCUAAGACUCGGUGCUGACCGGCCUGGGCAGAGCAAAUCUCCUCCCCUGGGGCUCCUCCUUCCAGAGAAGUCACAGACUGAGCCCUCUCCCAGCUCUGAGCUCUAUCAAAGAAUGGUUAUUCUUAGUGCCCUCUGGCCCCAUCACUGUGAAAACAAAGCACCACAGAGGACCCCCUGCUCUCUCUAUGCAGCCCUAGUUGGGCAAUCGGGUGGCCUUUUUCUGUCUCUCCCUUCCUCUGCCUCUCUUUCUGUAUCUGCCCUAGCUCCCUCCAUUCCUCAGUGUCUCUGCCUGUUUCUUACUCUCUUGCCCCUUCUCUCUCAUUCUCUGUGUCUCUGCAUGUGUUUGUCUGUCUCUGUCUCCCUCUUUCUCUCUACCUUUGUCUCUCUCUCUCUCUAUGUGUCUCUCUGUCUCUUCCCUCUCUCCACCUCCCACUCCCAUCUUUCUCUCUAUCUAUGCCUUUGUCCAUCUUUCUCCAUCUCUCUGUGUGUCUCUUUCCCCUCUUUUGUCUCUCUGACGUCUUUCUUUCUCUCCCACUCCUUAUCUCUGAGCCUCCUUCUUUCUUUGUCUCUGUCUCUCUUUCUCUGUCUUACCUUCUAUCUCUGCUUCCCAUCUCACUGCCUUUGUCUCUCUCCUACCUCCUCAUCUGUCUUUCUCCUUUUCUUUCUUUCCCCUUCUCUGUCUUGGUCUAUCACUAUUCCUCUUUCCCUGUCUCUCUCUCUGCCUCUCCCUCUGUCUCCCUUUCCCUCUCUUUCUUUCUGUCUCUCACUGACUCUCUCUUCUUUUCUCAAUAUCUCUUCCCUUCCCUCUUUUCAUGUCUUUCCUCUCCUCUGUAUGUUUCUCCCCUUUUCUGUCUGUCUCUCUCUACCCUCCUCUGUCUCUGUCUCAUUACCCCUCUUUCUGUCUCCCUAUCUCCUUCCCAGUCUCUCUUUCUGUCUCUAUCUCUGCCCUCCUCUGUCUCUGUCUCCUCCUCCCUCCCAGUUUGUUUCAUUACUCUCUUCCUUUCUCUGUCGCUCUCUCCUUGUCUACACCUGUCUUUCUGUGUUCCUGUCUUUUUUUCUGUUUCUCUGCUUCUGUCUCUUUCCAUCUGUCUCUGUCUCUGUCUAUUUCUCUCUCUGUCUCCUCUCCAACUCUCUCCCUCCCUCCCCUCCUCUGUGCCUGUCUCUCUCUUCCUCUCCCCAUCUUCCUUCCUGUUUGUCUGUCUUCCUUCCUCUGUCUCUAUCUCUGCACCUUUCUUUUUAUCUCUUUCUUCCCUCUCCCCAUUUCUCUAUCUCUCUCUCUGUCUUCUGCUCUCUCCCUAUCUGUCUGUCUGAGUGUCUCUCUCUCUCUCUUUCUGUUUCUGUCUCACUGCCUUUCUUUCUGUCUUUGUCUUCCCCCUCCUCAUCUCCUUCCUGGUCUUGCUGCCUUUGUCUCUACCCUUCCGUCUGUCUCUCUCUCCCUUCUCUGUUUUUCUCUCUUCCCUUUUCUCUAUCCAUCUCUGUCUGUUUCUGUGUCUCUCUCAUGUCCUCAUCUCCCUCCCUCUCUCUGCCUCCCUCCUACUUCUCUCCUUUCUUCCUCCUUCCCCCCUCUCUCCUCUUCUAUCUCUGUCUCUCCUUAUUCUCUCUUUCUGUCUGUCUCUAUUUUUGUCUCUCCUUCUGUCUUACUGCUUCUUUCUGUCCCUGUCUCUCUCCCCUCAUCUCCCUCUCCCUCUCUCUCUCUCCCCCCUACUGUGUCUCUUUCUGCCCCCUCCCCAUCUCCCUUCCUCUCUGUCUCUGUCUCCAUCUCUCUCUCCCCUCUUCUGUCUCUCUGCUUCUCUUUCCCUCCUCCUCAUCUUCCUCCCUUCUAUCUCUCCUCUCCUCUCACUUCUCUCUCCCAGCUUCUCACCCUCCUCUGUGCCCAUCUCUGACUCUUUCUCUCUUCCUCUGUCUCUUUGCUCUCUAUGUCUCUCUCCUCUCCUGUCUCUGCCUAUCUCCCCCUUUUCAAUUCUCCCCUCUGUCUUUCUCUUUCCCUCUUCCCCCUCUCUCCCCAUUUCCCUAUCUCUCUUCCUGUUUUUCUCUGUUUCUCUCUCUUUCUCUGUCUCGUCUCUGUCUCUUUCUUCCCCCCUCCUCCGUGUCUCUACUUUUCUUUCCAUCUCUUGUUCACCCCUUCCCAUCUCCCUCUCUCUUUUUCUGUCUCUCUGUCUUUUCCGUAUCUGUCUCACUGUCUCUCUCCUGCUUCUCUAUCUCUCUCCCUGUCUCUGUCUUUACCCUCCUCUUUGACUGUCUCUGCCUCUCUUUCUCUCUCCCCCUCCCCAUCUCUGUCUCCAUUUGUCUCUGCUCUCCUGCGUCUGUCUGUCUCUCUCUGCCUCCUCCCCAUCUCCCUCCCUCACUCUUGUCUUUUCCCUCUUGUGUCUCUCUGCCUCUUUCUGUCUCUCUCCUCCCAUGUUUUUCCCUGUUUCUCUGUCUCCAUUUCUUUCUGUCUCUCCUCUCCUCUGAAUCUGUCUCUCUUCCUCUUUUUCUCUCUCCCCCCUCCCCUCUCUGUCUCUCUAUGUCUCUGCUUUCUUCUGUGUAUGUCUGUCUCUCCCCCCUCCCCAUCUCCCUCCUCCUGUUUCUAUUUGUCUUUGUCUCUC